CCUACGGGAGGCAGCAGUGGGGAAUCUUGGACAAUGGGCGCAAGCCUGAUCCAGCAAUGCCGCGUGGGUGAAGAAGGCCUUCGGGUUGUAAAGCCCUUUCGGUGGGGAAGAAAUCGGUCAGGCGAAUAGUCUGGCUGGAUGACGGUACCCGCAGAAGAAGCACCGGCUAACUACGUGCCAGCAGCCGCGGUAAU
Molecule: ribosomal RNA, 194 nt
Filed under: uncultured bacterium
Lineage: Bacteria
Description: partial 16S ribosomal RNA
Rfam family: Bacterial small subunit ribosomal RNA
Source: RNAcentral